Vicia faba (fava bean) is the source of this 192-nucleotide non-coding RNA. The record is from the annotation of a GenBank genome assembly. Lineage: Eukaryota; Viridiplantae; Streptophyta; Magnoliopsida; Fabales; Fabaceae.
AUGUAUAUUCAAAAAUCCCCAAUUUUCCCCUCAACCUCAAAACUCAAAAUCCUUAAAAUAUUAAUUCAAAAAAUAAAACUUUCAAAUUUUUUUGAAAAAAAAAACGAAAAUUUCAGGAAACGAAAGCUUCAUGCCGAUCUACAAGAUCAGAAUCGCAUACCUCAGAUAAUAAUCAUGUAUUCACCAAAUUGA